AUCUUCGGCAAUGGACGAAAGUCUGACCGAGCAAUGCCGCGUGAGUGAGGAAGGCCUUCGGGUCGUAAAGCUCUGUUGCCAGGGAAGAACGCCAAGGAGAGUAACUGCUCUUUGGGUGACGGUACCUGAGAAGAAAGCCCCGGCUAACUACGUGCCAGCAGCCGCGGUAAUACGUAGGGGGCAAGCGUUGUCCGGAAUUAUUGGGCGUAAAGCGCGCGCAGGCGGCUAUUUAAGUCUUAUGUAUAACUCCAAGGCUCAACCUUGGAUCGCAUGGGAAACUGGGUGGCUUGAGUGUAGGAGAGGAAAGUGGAAUUCCACGUGUAGCGGUGAAAUGCGUAGAGAUGUGGAGGAACACCAGUGGCGAAGGCGACUUUCUGGCCUAUAACUGACGCUGAGGCGCGAAAGCGUGGGGAGCAAACAGG
Molecule: ribosomal RNA, 422 nt
Filed under: uncultured bacterium
Lineage: Bacteria
Description: bacterial SSU rRNA
Rfam family: Bacterial small subunit ribosomal RNA
Source: RNAcentral